UGGGGAAUAUUCCGCAAUGGACGAAAGUCUGACGGAGCAAUGCCGCGUGAGUGAUGAAGGCCUUUGGGUCGUAAAACUCUGUCUUUGGGGAAGAAACCAUUAUGUGUUAAUACCACAUAGUAUUGACAGUACCCGAGGAGGAAGCCCCGGCUAACUACGUGCCAGCAGCCGCGGUAAUACGUAGGGGGCGAGCGUUGUACGGGAUCAUUGGGCGUAAAGGGCGUGUAGGCGGUUUUGUAAGUCAGAUGUGAAAACUUGAGGCUCAACUUCAAGCCUGCAUCUGAAACUACAUCACUUGAGUGCAGGAGGGGAAAGUGGAAUUCCAUGUGUAGCGGUGAAAUGCGUAGAUAUAUGGAAGAACACCAGUGGCGAAGGCGACUUUCUGGACUGAACCUGACGCUGAGGCGCGAAAGCCAGGGGAGCGAACG
This 428-nucleotide ribosomal RNA is filed under the name uncultured prokaryote. RNAcentral's name for it is "bacterial SSU rRNA". It matches the Rfam family "Bacterial small subunit ribosomal RNA", at positions 355 to 774 of the family's 1533-position model. The record is from RNAcentral.